CCCCUUCCCUUGCCGGGCGGGAGUGCCUAUAUUCGCCACGUCGGUUCGCCGACUAUGGCGAUAAACGCCUUGUGGAAUAAGCGUUGUGGACCCGGGGGCGGUACCCGGCGCCUCCACCAACCAAACACCGGACUCGUUGACCGGGGUCGUUGGGGGCGAAACAGGAUCGACACGCGUGGUAAAGGCAUGGUUUUCGCUCGGCAUGGUUCCGCCGUUAUCGGGCCGUUGCAAUAGUUGCCAACGACAACGUUGCUCAGGCUCGCCUCGCUGCCUAACGGCGGCUGGUAGCCUAAACCUAAUCCCCGCGGGUUAGCGCCCAAGGGUGGGGCCGUGGGCCGCCUAGCAACAGAAGGCCCACACC
This is a non-coding RNA of Azospirillum sp. B510, 361 nucleotides long. It matches the Rfam family "Alphaproteobacteria transfer-messenger RNA". Rfam says of the family: Bacterial tmRNA, also known as 10Sa RNA or SsrA, is named for its dual tRNA and mRNA-like properties. Its role is to liberate the mRNA from a stalled ribosome. NCBI's taxonomy places the organism in Bacteria, Pseudomonadati, Pseudomonadota, Alphaproteobacteria, Rhodospirillales, Azospirillaceae. The record is from Rfam.